RNAcentral lists this long non-coding RNA (1248 nucleotides) under Equus asinus (donkey). RNAcentral describes it as "lncRNA (ENSEASG00005034825.1)". Lineage: Eukaryota; Metazoa; Chordata; Mammalia; Perissodactyla; Equidae. The record is from RNAcentral.
AUGCGUGGGCGACGCGCUACCCCGCGGAUGUCUGCAGACCUGCCACCCCCGGUUAAGAGGACCAUGCACUCAACAAAUAUUUGUGAGGCCUACUGUGGGAAGGCCACAAGACAGCUGGAGCAGUUAUGAUGAGUGUGAUGAGCGCCGUUAAAGGCCCGCCCCGGCUUAUCUACCUAAGGCCAGGCCUGGCAGCGCGGCUACCAUCCAUCUCGAGGCAGUGUGGAGGGCGGACUGGAAGCGGUUUGAAGACAGCGAGAGGCCCAGCUGGGCACCAUGAUGGCUUACACUUCGAUAGUGACCGUGCGUGGAGAGCAAGAAGUGAAUUCCUCAUGUUUGGCCUUUUUGGAGAGAACUUUGGCAGUCUCGACUACAAAUGGACAAAUACCCUCAGAAUCAAUAAAUCUACUUGAAUGUCGUGGUUCAUUAACAUCAGACUGGUUACAUGAAUACACAAGGAUGACUCGUGAAAUGCUAUGCAGCAGUUAAAAAGAAAGAAGUAGAGCCAAAUAUAUUGUCAUAGAAAGAUUUCCAAGACAUUAGGUGGAAAAAGCAAGUUGCUGGAUAAUACGUACACUUUUACCCCAUUUCUGUAAAAACUAAAUAAAACAAUACAUUUCUAUAUGUAAAUGUAUAGAAACUACUGAUGACAGUGAUUUUUCUCUGGGGAGGGGAAGUAAGAUCAGAGGAAGGUCAAGUGGACUUUUAUUGUUUCCAGUUUUUACAAAGAAAUAUUGAUUCAACAAAUAUGUAUCCAGUGCCUGUCAUGUGUCCCACCCACAUCUAGCCGGGUGUCAGAGAUAAAGAUAGAGCAUGGAUAAAGGCCGUGAGGUCGUGACUCUUGUGGUCUGGGAUGAAAGAGUGGGAUUUACUCAUUUGAUAGGCAAAUACAAAUGAAGAAAGAAGAAAAAGAAGCAAAGAGGUAACCUUUUGCAAGAGAUAGCUAAGAGGUGUGAGCCAGAGGAGUUCAUUGACUGCAGGUGAUAAAUGAGGACACAGGAGGAAUGAAGAACACCUUCAAGUUUCAGGCCUGAGUAACCAGGUGGCAUUUGGUUUCAUCUCCUGAUGGGAUGGAAACAGGUUCUGUGGGGCAUGGAACUCAUUCAGCUGGUGGAGUGGGGAGCCCUUUAAGAGAAAAUUCAAGUUUACAAAUACAAAAUUAGAUUUGAACAUGGAUAUUUAUUUAGAAUGAGAAGAAAAAUCACACACACAAAAAAUGAGUUUUUACAAGCUGACAUACCAGAAAAAUCC